CAAGGAAUUUUCCCCAAUGGGCGCAAGCCUGAGGGAGCAACGCCGCGUGCAGGACGACGGCUUUCGGGUUGUAAACUGCUUUUGGGGGGGACGAUAAUGACGGUACCCCCCGAAUAAGCCCCGGCUAACUCUGUGCCAGCAGCCGCGGUAAUACAGAGGGGGCAAGCGUUGUCCGGACUUACUGGGCGUAAAGCGCGCGCAGGCGGUCACGGGCGUCGGUGCUGAAAGUGCGCCGCUUAACGGCGCAAUGCGUGCCGAUACGCUGUGACUGGAGCGCGGGCGAGGGUGGUGGAAUUGCCGGUGUAGUGGUGAAAUGCGUAGAUAUCGGCAGGAACACCUGUGGCGUAGGCGGCCACCUAGCCCGCUGCUGACGCUGAGGCGCGACAGCGUGGGGAGCGAACUGGAUUAGAUACCCCUGUAGUCC
This 424-nucleotide ribosomal RNA is filed under the name uncultured bacterium. RNAcentral describes it as "bacterial SSU rRNA". It matches the Rfam family "Bacterial small subunit ribosomal RNA", at positions 355 to 796 of the family's 1533-position model. The record is from RNAcentral.